RNAcentral lists this ribosomal RNA (274 nucleotides) under uncultured bacterium. RNAcentral describes it as "partial 16S ribosomal RNA". It matches the Rfam family "Bacterial small subunit ribosomal RNA", at positions 523 to 796 of the family's 1533-position model. The record is from RNAcentral.
AUACGGGGGGUGCAAGCGUUAUUCGGAUUUAUUGGGCGUAAAGGGCGCGUAGGCGGCUUGGAAAGUCAGAUGUGAAAGCCCGGGGCUCAACCCCGGAAGUGCAUUUGAAACUAUCAGGCUUGAGUAUGGGAGAGGGAAGUGGAAUUCCUGGUGUAGAGGUGAAAUUCGUAGAUAUCAGGAGGAACACCGGUGGCGAAGGCGACUUCCUGGACCAAUACUGACGCUGAGGCGCGAAGGCGUGGGGAGCAAACAGGAUUAGAAACCCUGGUAGUCC